RNAcentral lists this ribosomal RNA (253 nucleotides) under uncultured bacterium. RNAcentral's name for it is "partial 16S ribosomal RNA". It matches the Rfam family "Bacterial small subunit ribosomal RNA", at positions 524 to 776 of the family's 1533-position model. The record is from RNAcentral.
UACGUAGGGGGCAAGCGUUAUCCGGAUCUACUGGGUGUAAAGGGAGCGUAGACGGCUUUGCAAGCCAGAUGUGAAAGCCCGGGGCUCAACCUCGGGACUGCAUUUGGAACUGUAUGGCUGGAGUGUCGGAGAGGCAGGCGGAAUUCCUAGUGUAGCGGUGAAAUGCGUAGAUAUUAGGAGGAACACCAGUGGCGAAGGCGGCCUGCUGGACGAUGACUGACGUUGAGGCUCGAAAGCGUGGGGAGCAAACAGG